Molecule: ribosomal RNA, 2517 nt
Filed under: Escherichia coli
Lineage: Bacteria; Pseudomonadati; Pseudomonadota; Gammaproteobacteria; Enterobacterales; Enterobacteriaceae
Description: partial 23S ribosomal RNA
Rfam family: Bacterial large subunit ribosomal RNA
Source: RNAcentral
GGGACACGUGGUAUCCUGUCUGAAUAUGGGGGGACCAUCCUCCAAGGCUAAAUACUCCUGACUGACCGAUAGUGAACCAGUACCGUGAGGGAAAGGCGAAAAGAACCCCGGCGAGGGGAGUGAAAAAGAACCUGAAACCGUGUACGUACAAGCAGUGGGAGCCUCUUAAUGGGGUGACUGCGUACCUUUUGUAUAAUGGGUCAGCGACUUAUAUUCUGUAGCAAGGUUAACCGAAUAGGGGAGCCGAAGGGAAACCGAGUCUUAACUGGGCGUUAAGUUGCAGGGUAUAGACCCGAAACCCGGUGAUCUAGCCAUGGGCAGGUUGAAGGUUGGGUAACACUAACUGGAGGACCGAACCGACUAAUGUUGAAAAAUUAGCGGAUGACUUGUGGCUGGGGGUGAAAGGCCAAUCAAACCGGGAGAUAGCUGGUUCUCCCCGAAAGCUAUUUAGGUAGCGCCUCGUGAAUUCAUCUCCGGGGGUAGAGCACUGUUUCGGCAAGGGGGUCAUCCCGACUUACCAACCCGAUGCAAACUGCGAAUACCGGAGAAUGUUAUCACGGGAGACACACGGCGGGUGCUAACGUCCGUCGUGAAGAGGGAAACAACCCAGACCGCCAGCUAAGGUCCCAAAGUCAUGGUUAAGUGGGAAACGAUGUGGGAAGGCCCAGACAGCCAGGAUGUUGGCUUAGAAGCAGCCAUCAUUUAAAGAAAGCGUAAUAGCUCACUGGUCGAGUCGGCCUGCGCGGAAGAUGUAACGGGGCUAAACCAUGCACCGAAGCUGCGGCAGCGACACUAUGUGUUGUUGGGUAGGGGAGCGUUCUGUAAGCCUGUGAAGGUGGCCUGUGAGGGUUGCUGGAGGUAUCAGAAGUGCGAAUGCUGACAUAAGUAACGAUAAAGCGGGUGAAAAGCCCGCUCGCCGGAAGACCAAGGGUUCCUGUCCAACGUUAAUCGGGGCAGGGUGAGUCGACCCCUAAGGCGAGGCCGAAAGGCGUAGUCGAUGGGAAACAGGUUAAUAUUCCUGUACUUGGUGUUACUGCGAAGGGGGGACGGAGAAGGCUAUGUUGGCCGGGCGACGGUUGUCCCGGUUUAAGCGUGUAGGCUGGUUUUCCAGGCAAAUCCGGAAAAUCAAGGCUGAGGCGUGAUGACGAGGCACUACGGUGCUGAAGCGACAAAUGCCCUGCUUCCAGGAAAAGCCUCUAAGCAUCAGGUAACAUCAAAUCGUACCCCAAACCGACACAGGUGGUCAGGUAGAGAAUACCAAGGCGCUUGAGAGAACUCGGGUGAAGGAACUAGGCAAAAUGGUGCCGUAACUUCGGGAGAAGGCACGCUGAUAUGUAGGUGAAGCGACUUGCUCGUGGAGCUGAAAUCAGUCGAAGAUACCAGCUGGCUGCAACUGUUUAUUAAAAACACAGCACUGUGCAAACACGAAAGUGGACGUAUACGGUGUGACGCCUGCCCGGUGCCGGAAGGUUAAUUGAUGGGGUUAGCGGUAACGCGAAGCUCUUGAUCGAAGCCCCGGUAAACGGCGGCCGUAACUAUAACGGUCCUAAGGUAGCGAAAUUCCUUGUCGGGUAAGUUCCGACCUGCACGAAUGGCGUAAUGAUGGCCAGGCUGUCUCCACCCGAGACUCAGUGAAAUUGAACUCGCUGUGAAGAUGCAGUGUACCCGCGGCAAGACGGAAAGACCCCGUGAACCUUUACUAUAGCUUGACACUGAACAUUGAGCCUUGAUGUGUAGGAUAGGUGGGAGGCUUUGAAGUGUGGACGCCAGUCUGCAUGGAGCCGACCUUGAAAUACCACCCUUUAAUGUUUGAUGUUCUAACGUGGGCCCCUAAUCGGGGUUGCGGACAGUGUCUGGUGGGUAGUUUGACUGGGGCGGUCUCCUCCUAAAGAGUAACGGAGGAGCACGAAGGUUGGCUAAUCCUGGUCGGACAUCAGGAGGUUAGUGCAAUGGCAUAAGCCAGCUUGACUGCGAGCGUGACGGCGCGAGCAGGUGCGAAAGCAGGUCAUAGUGAUCCGGUGGUUCUGAAUGGAAGGGCCAUCGCUCAACGGAUAAAAGGUACUCCGGGGAUAACAGGCUGAUACCGCCCAAGAGUUCAUAUCGACGGCGGUGUUUGGCACCUCGAUGUCGGCUCAUCACAUCCUGGGGCUGAAGUAGGUCCCAAGGGUAUGGCUGUUCGCCAUUUAAAGUGGUACGCGAGCUGGGUUUAGAACGUCGUGAGACAGUUCGGUCCCUAUCUGCCGUGGGCGCUGGAGAACUGAGGGGGGCUGCUCCUAGUACGAGAGGACCGGAGUGGACGCAUCACUGGUGUUCGGGUUGUCAUGCCAAUGGCACUGCCCGGUAGCUAAAUGCGGAAGAGAUAAGUGCUGAAAGCAUCUAAGCACGAAACUUGCCCCGAGAUGAGUUCUCCCUGACUCCUUGAGAGUCCUGAAGGAACGUUGAAGACGACGACGUUGAUAGGCCGGGUGUGUAAGCGCAGCGAUGCGUUGAGCUAACCGGUACUAAUGAACCGUGAGG